This 909-nucleotide ribosomal RNA is filed under the name Triticum aestivum (bread wheat). RNAcentral's name for it is "partial small subunit ribosomal RNA". The record is from RNAcentral. Lineage: Eukaryota; Viridiplantae; Streptophyta; Magnoliopsida; Poales; Poaceae.
CCCCGUGUACUACUCAAGCUGGAUAUCGCGCGAGCGUUCAACUUUGUCUCUUGGCCCUUCCUACUUCGGGUGCUCCAACACAUGGGAAUUGGCCCGCGGUGGCGUGAGUGGAUUUCUAUUCUGAUCUCGACAGCCUCGACGCGCGUCCUGAUCAAUGGCACGCCGGGCCCCCCGAUUCCGCACGGCCAGGGCCUUCGCCAAGGGGAUCCGGUCUCCUCGAUGUUGUUCGUGCUGGUCAUCGACACGCUCAACACGUUGCUCCAGUUCGUCGUUCAGUCCGGCAUCAUCAAGCGGCUGACGCGCAGGCAUGCCCCGUCUAGCGUCUCUCUCUUUGCUGACGAUGUGAUCAUCUUUUGCCACCCCGACGAAUCUGAGCUCUCUGCUAUCAACUCUCUGCUUGAGCGCUUCGGCACUGCCUCGGGCUUGCGCACUAACUUCGCGAAGUGCCAGGCCGCCCUCAUCCAGUGCCCGGACGGCUUUGCGAGCAACGUCACCACCGCCCUCGCCUGCCCGGUGGUGCCCUUCCCCAUUCGCUACCUAGGCCUCCCUCUCUCGCUCAGGAAAGUUCCUACCGCCCACCUGCUUCCCCUGAUCGAGAAGCUUGGUCGCAAGCUUGCUACUUGGAAAGCUGCUCUGCUCAUCCGCGGCGAGCGGCUCAACUUGGUUCGUCAAGUUCUGAGUGCUAUGCCUGUCCACAUGCUCCUCGCCAUGGCUCUCUCCCCUGCCAUCCUGAAGCAGGCCAAUCGUAUCCUUCGUGAUUUCCUCUGGCAUGGGAGGAAGGACGUGCGCGCUGGUUCUUGCCUAGUUAGAUGGGCACGGGUUUGCCGCCCGAUCGAGCUGGGGGGUCUAGGCAUCCGCGACUUUCACCGCACUGGCAUCUCGCUUCGGACGCGUUGGCUUUGGCUCUAG